AUGUUCCGAGACAAGGCCAAAACCAGCCCCAGUGUCUUCCCACUGAGCCUCAGCAGCCCUGACAAAGCUGGACACGUGGUCAUCGCCUGCCUGGUCCAGGGCUUCUUCCCGCCAGAGCCCGUGAAUGUGAUCUGGAGCCCCAGCAAGGAGGGUGCGUCCGUCAGGAACUUCCCCCCAGUGAAGGCUGCUGGGAGCCUGUACACCAUGAGCAGCCAGCUGACCCUGCCGGCCAACCAGUGCCCUGACACCUCGUCCCUGGAAUGCCAAGUGCAGCACUCCUCCAGCCCCAAGAAGACUGUGUCCGUGCCAUGCAUAGUUCCAGGGCCUAACUGCUCUUGUAAAUGUCCCUCGUGUGAGGAGCCCCGCCUGUCACUGCACCAGCCCGCCCUCGAGGACCUGCUUCUGGGCUCCAAUGCCAGCCUCACGUGCACGCUGAGCGGCCUGAAAGACCCCAAGGGUGCCUCCUUCACCUGGAAGCCCUCCGGGGGCAAGGAUGCCAUCCAGAAGAGCCCUGAGCGUGACCCCUGCGGCUGCUACAGCGUGUCCAGUGUGCUGCCAGGCUGUGCGGAGCCAUGGAACCGUGGGGAGACCUUCUCCUGCACGGCCACCCACCCCGAGUCCAAGAGCCCGAUGACUGUCAACAUCAGCAAAACCAUAGGAAACACUUUCCGGCCCCAGGUCCACCUGCUGCCGCCGCCGUCGGAGGAGUUGGCCCUCAACGAGCUGGUGUCGCUGACCUGCUUCGUGAGGGGCUUCAGUCCCAAGGACGUGCUGAUCCGCUGGCUGCAGGGGACCCAGGAGCUGCCCCCAGAGAAGUACAUGACCUGGGAGCCCCUGGAGGAGCCCGGCCAGAGCGUCCCCACCUUCGCUGUGACCAGUGUGCUGAGGGUAGACGCCGAGGCCUGGAAGCAGGGGGACAAGUUCUCCUGCAUGGUGGGCCACGAGGCCCUGUCCCUAUCCUUCACCCAGAAGACGAUCGACCGCCUGGCGGACCCACAGUGUCUUGCAGAUUGCCGGGAACCACUUCCCUGGCUGGUGCUGGACCUGCCACAGGAGGACCUGGAGGAAGACGCCCCAGGAGCCAGCCUGUGGCCUACCACCGUCACCCUGCUCACCCUCUUCCUACUGAGUCUCUUCUACAGCACAGCACUGACUGUGACAAGCGUGCGGGGCCCAGCUGACAGCAGAGAGGGCCCCCAGUACUGAGCAGAGGCCAGCCAGGCACAGGGAGGAAUCUGGAGGAGCCUCCUGGAACCCCAGCUGGAUGCCAGAGCUCAGCCCUGCUCAGAAGCUGCCCACUCACCCCACACGCAGGCCUUGCUGGUGCAAUAAACUGAUC
Odobenus rosmarus divergens (Pacific walrus) is the source of this 1339-nucleotide non-coding RNA. Lineage: Eukaryota; Metazoa; Chordata; Mammalia; Carnivora; Odobenidae. The record is from the annotation of a RefSeq genome assembly.